GCCAGCUCAGUUGGUAGAGCAAGAGACUCACGAGACGCUUAACCUCAGGGUUGUGGGUUCGAGUCCCGCAUUGGGCA
Molecule: non-coding RNA, 77 nt
Organism: Podarcis lilfordi (Lilford's wall lizard)
Lineage: Eukaryota; Metazoa; Chordata; Lepidosauria; Squamata; Lacertidae
Source: the annotation of a GenBank genome assembly